RNAcentral lists this transfer RNA (73 nucleotides) under Chloroflexota bacterium. RNAcentral's name for it is "tRNA-Arg". It matches the Rfam family "tRNA". Rfam says of the family: Transfer RNA (tRNA) molecules are approximately 80 nucleotides in length. Lineage: Bacteria; Bacillati; Chloroflexota. RNAcentral also lists the same sequence under 1 other name. The record is from RNAcentral.
GCACCAGUAGCUCAAUGGAUAGAGCACUCGACUUCGGAUCGAGUGGUUGCGGGUUCAAGUCCUGCCUGGUGCG